RNAcentral lists this ribosomal RNA (436 nucleotides) under uncultured bacterium. RNAcentral's name for it is "bacterial SSU rRNA". It matches the Rfam family "Bacterial small subunit ribosomal RNA", at positions 957 to 1391 of the family's 1533-position model. The record is from RNAcentral.
GAACGCGAAGAACCUUACCAGGUCUUGACAUCCCUCUGACCGCUCUAGAGAUAGAGUUGUUCGCUGUCGGGACAGAGGUGACAGGUGGUGCAUGGUUGUCGUCAGCUCGUGUCGUGAGAUGUUGGGUUAAGUCCCGCAACGAGCGCAACCCCUAUUGUUAGUUGCCAUCAUUUAGUUGGGCACUCUAGCGAGACUGCCGGUAAUAAACCGGAGGAAGGUGGGGAUGACGUCAAAUCAUCAUGCCCCUUAUGACCUGGGCUACACACGUGCUACAAUGGCUGGUACAACGAGUCGCAAGCCGGUGACGGCAAGCUAAUCUCUUAAAGCCAGUCUCAGUUCGGAUUGUAGGCUGCAACUCGCCUACAUGAAGUCGGAAUCGCUAGUAAUCGCGGAUCAGCACGCCGCGGUGAAUACGUUCCCGGGUCUUGUACACACC